RNAcentral lists this ribosomal RNA (1408 nucleotides) under human gut metagenome. RNAcentral describes it as "bacterial LSU rRNA". It matches the Rfam family "Bacterial large subunit ribosomal RNA", at positions 1105 to 2512 of the family's 2925-position model. The record is from RNAcentral.
CUUAGAAGCAGCCAUCCUUCAAAGAAAGCGUAAUAGCUCACUGAUCGAGUCUUCCUGCGCGGAAGAUGUAACGGGGCUAAGUCAAUAACCGAAGCCGCGGAUUCGCAGCAAUGCGAGUGGUAGGGGAGCGUUCUGUAAGCCUGCGAAGGCGGAUCUGCGAGGACCGCUGGAGGUAUCAGAAGUGCGAAUGCUGACAUGAGUAACGUUAAAGCGGGUGAAAAGCCCGCUCGCCGCAAGCCCAAGGUUUCCUGCUCUACGUUCAUCGGAGCAGGGUGAGUCGGCCCCUAAGGUCAGGCUGAGAAGCGUAGCUGAUGGGAAGCUGGUUAAUAUUCCAGCACCGAUUUCAAGUGCGAAGGGGGGACGGAGUCCUGAAGGUCAUCCGGGUGUUGGAUAUCCCGGUUUACGAGCGUAGGAGGUUGACAGGCAAAUCCGUCAACGGAUCUCCAAGGCGAAGGAUCGAGGUUGAGAGAUCAACUGAAGUGACUGAAUGGGCUUCCAGGAAAAGCCUCUAAGCAUCAGCUUGGAAUUGACCGUACCGCAAACCGACACUGGUGGGCGAGCUGAAUAUGCUCAGGCGCUUGAGAGAACUCAGGAGAAGGAACUCGGCAAAUUGACACCGUAACUUCGGGAUAAGGUGUGCCUUUGUAGUGUGAAGAGAGAAACACUCCGAGCAUGAAGAGGCCUCAGAGAAUCGGUGGCUGCAACUGUUUACUAAAAACACAGCACUCUGCAAAGAUGAAAGUCGACGUAUAGGGUGUGAUGCCUGCCCGGUGCUGGAAGAUUAAUUGAUGGGGUGCAAGCUCCUGAUCGAAGUCCCAGUAAACGGCGGCCGUAACUAUAACGGUCCUAAGGUAGCGAAAUUCCUUGUCGGGCAAGUUCCGACCUGCACGAAUGGCAUAAUGAUGGCCACACUGUCUCCUCCUGAGACUCAGUGAAGUUGAAAUGUUUGUGAUGAUGCAAUCUCCCCGCGGCUAGACGGAAAGACCCCAUGAACCUUUACUGCAGCUUUGCAUUGGACUUUGAACCGAUCUGUGUAGGAUAGGUGGGAGGCAGUGAAGCUAGGACGCCAGUCUUAGCGGAGCCAACCUUGAAAUACCACCCUGAUUUGUUUGAGGUUCUAACCUAGGAGCGUGAUCCGCUUCGGGGACCGUGCAUGGUAGGCAGUUUGACUGGGGCGGUCUCCUCCUAAAGGGUAACGGAGGAGUGCGAAGGUACGCUAGGUACGGUCGGAAAUCGUGCUGAUAGUGCAAUGGCAAAAGCGUGCUUGACUGCGAGACCGACAAGUCGAGCAGAUACGAAAGUAGGUCAUAGUGAUCCGGUGGCUCUGCAUGGAAGGGCCAUCGCUCAACGGAUAAAAGGUACUCUGGGGAUAACAGGCUGAUACCGCCCAAGAGUUCAUAUCGACGGC